Molecule: ribosomal RNA, 340 nt
Filed under: uncultured eukaryote
Lineage: Eukaryota
Description: partial 18S ribosomal RNA
Rfam family: Eukaryotic small subunit ribosomal RNA
Source: RNAcentral
CCCUUAGAUGUUCGGGGCCGCACGCGCGCUACACUGAAGGACUCAGCGUGUCUCUCCCCCUAUCCCGAAAGGGAUGGGCAACCCGUUGAACCUCCUUCGUGCUAGGGAUUGGGGUUUGCAAUUAUCCCCCAUGAACGAGGAAUUCCCAGUAAGCGCGAGUCAUCAGCUCGCGUUGAUUACGUCCCUGCCCUUUGUACACACCGCCCGUCGCUACUACCGAUUGGAUGGUUUAGUGAGACCCUCGGAUCGGUCCCGACUCGGGGUGGGCUUCUGCCCCGGUCGUGGUUUCGCCGAGAAGACGGUCUAACUUGACUAUCUAGAGGAAGUAAAAGUCGUAACA